GCGGGUGUAGCUGAGUGGUAGAGCGCAUGCUUAGCGUGCAUGAGGUCCUGGGGUCAAUCCCCGGCACCUUCA
Molecule: transfer RNA, 72 nt
Filed under: Camelus bactrianus (Bactrian camel)
Lineage: Eukaryota; Metazoa; Chordata; Mammalia; Artiodactyla; Camelidae
Also listed under: 1 other name
Rfam family: tRNA
About the family: Transfer RNA (tRNA) molecules are approximately 80 nucleotides in length. Their secondary structure includes four short double-helical elements and three loops (D, anti-codon, and T loops).
Source: Rfam by way of RNAcentral